Molecule: ribosomal RNA, 507 nt
Filed under: uncultured bacterium
Lineage: Bacteria
Description: bacterial SSU rRNA
Rfam family: Bacterial small subunit ribosomal RNA
Source: RNAcentral
GAUGAACGCUAGCUACAGGCUUAACACAUGCAAGUCGAGGGGAAACGAUAUUGGAAGCUUGCUUCCGAUAGGCGUCGACCGGCGCACGGGUGAGUAACGCGUAUCCAACCUGCCCAUCACUUGGGGAUAACCUUGCGAAAGUAAGACUAAUACCCAAUGAUAUCUCUAGAAGACAUCUGAAAGAGAUUAAAAGAUUUAUCGGUGAUGGAUGGGGAUGCGUCUGAUUAGCUUGUUGGCGGGGUAACGGCCCACCAAGGCGACGAUCAGUAGGGUUCUGAGAGGAAGGUCCCCCACAUUGGAACUGAGACACGGUCCAAACUCCUACGGGAGGCAGCAGUGAGGAAUAUUGGUCAAUGGGCGAGAGCCUGAACCAGCCAAGUAGCGUGCAGGAUGACGGCCCUAUGGGUUGUAAACUGCUUUUAUAAGGGAAUAAAAGUGAGUCUCGUGAGACUUUUUGCAUGUACCUUAUGAAUAAGGACGGCUAAUCCGUGCCAGCAGCCGCGGUAA